UUCGCAAUGCCCGAAAGGGUGACGAUGCGACGCCGCGUGAGCGAAGAAGGCCCUAGGGUUGUAAAGCUCUGUCGAGGGUUAUGAAAUAUAGAUGGGUUAAUACCCCAUUUAUUUGACAAAAGCCCAAAAGGAAGCCACGGCUAACUCUGUGCCAGCAGCCGCGGUAAUACAGAGGUGGCAAGCGUUGUUCGGUAUUAUUGGGCGUAAAGAGCACGUAGGUGGUUUUGUAAGUCAGAUGUGAAAGCCUUCUGUUCAAAGGAAGAACGGCAUCUGAAACUACAGAUCUUGAGUGUAGGAGGGGAGAGUGGAACUUCUGGUGGAGCGGUGAAAUGCGUAGAUAUCAGAAGGAACGUCGGCGGCGAAAGCGACUCUCUGGCCUAUUACUGACACUGAGUGUGCGAAAGUUAGGGGAGCAAACGGGAUUAGAUACCCCGGUAGUCCUAACUGUAAACGAUGGGCACUAAGUAGAGGGGUUUU
Molecule: ribosomal RNA, 477 nt
Filed under: uncultured anaerobic ammonium-oxidizing bacterium
Lineage: Bacteria
Description: bacterial SSU rRNA
Rfam family: Bacterial small subunit ribosomal RNA
Source: RNAcentral